RNAcentral lists this ribosomal RNA (230 nucleotides) under uncultured Lactobacillus sp. RNAcentral describes it as "partial 16S ribosomal RNA". It matches the Rfam family "Bacterial small subunit ribosomal RNA", at positions 132 to 355 of the family's 1533-position model. The record is from RNAcentral. Lineage: Bacteria; Bacillati; Bacillota; Bacilli; Lactobacillales; Lactobacillaceae.
AAGAGAUCGGGAUAACACCUGGAAACAGAUGCUAAUACCGGAUAACAACAGAUGAUGCCUAUCAACUGUUUAAAAGAUGGUUCUGCUAUCACUCUUGGAUGGACCUGCGGUGCAUUAGCUAGUUGGUAGGGUAACGGCCUACCAAGGCGAUGAUGCAUAGCCGAGUUGAGANACUGAUCGGCCACAUUGGGACUGAGACACGGCCCAAACUCCUACGGGAGGCAGCAGCC